UUGAACUAUUGAUUUAUGUAAUUUGAAAUAACAAAUUUUGUUUACGACGAAACCUAGAAAUCGAUCAUUGAUCCAAUUUGAGAACCUCUGCAGGAUAGACCUCAAUAGAAAACUGAAGAGUAAGGCAGUAAGUGAUUGAGUUCAGUAGUUUGUCAUAUAAAAUUAUUGACUGUCGAGAUAUAGUAAUAUGGAGAAUAAUUGGAAAUAACCAAUUAGGUUUACGACGAAACCUAGAAAUCGAUCACUGAUCCAAUUUGAGUACCUCUGCAGGAUAGACCUCAACAGAAAACUGAAGAGUAACGGCAGCAAGUGAUUGAGUUCAGUAGUUCCUCAUAUAAAAUUAUUGACUCUAGAGAUAUAGUAAUAUGGAGAAGACAAAAUUCUUUCAAGCACCGACAGAACCGGAAGCGCCCUUUGUUUC
Molecule: long non-coding RNA, 421 nt
Filed under: Solanum tuberosum (potato)
Lineage: Eukaryota; Viridiplantae; Streptophyta; Magnoliopsida; Solanales; Solanaceae
Description: long non-coding RNA (STUB_LNC006433)
Source: RNAcentral